GCCCGCUCAGAAACUUAAAGGAAUUGACGGGGACCCGCACAAGCAGCGGAGCAUGUGGUUUUAAUUCGAAGCAACGCGAAGAACCUUACCAGGUCUUGACAUCCUCUGACAGUCUGAGAGAUCAGACUUUCCCUUCGGGGACAGAGAGACAGGUGGUGCAUGGUUGUCGUCAGCUCGUGUCGUGAGAUGUUGGGUUAAGUCCCGCAACGAGCGCAACCCUUAUGUUUAGUUGUCAGCAGGUAAAGCUGGACCCUCUAGACAGACUGCCGGGGAUAACUCGGAGGAAGGUGGGGAUGACGUCAAAUCAUCAUGCCCCUUAUGAUCUGGGCUACACACGUGCUACAAUGGCCGGUACAACGGGCAGCGAAGGAGUGAUCUGGAGCGAAUCCUAUAAAAGCCGGUCCCAGUUCGGAUUGUAGGCUGCAACUCGCCUACAUGAAGUUGGAGUUGCUAGUAAUCGCGGAUCAGAAUGUCGCGGUGAAUGCGUUCCCGGGUCUU
Molecule: ribosomal RNA, 498 nt
Filed under: uncultured Fusibacter sp.
Lineage: Bacteria; Bacillati; Bacillota; Clostridia; Eubacteriales; Fusibacteraceae
Description: bacterial SSU rRNA
Rfam family: Bacterial small subunit ribosomal RNA
Source: RNAcentral